AGUGAACGCUGGCGGUAGGCCUAACACAUGCAAGUCGAACGGCAGCACAGUAAGAGCUUGCUCUUACGGGUGGCGAGUGGCGGACGGGUGAGGAAUACAUCGGAAUCUACUUUUUCGUGGGGGAUAACGUAGGGAAACUUACGCUAAUACCGCAUACGACCUACGGGUGAAAGCAGGGGAUCUUCGGACCUUGCGCGAUUGAAUGAGCCGAUGUCGGAUUAGCUAGUUGGCGGGGUAAAGGCCCACCAAGGCGACGAUCCGUAGCUGGUCUGAGAGGAUGAUCAGCCACACUGGAACUGAGACACGGUACAGACUCCUACGGGAGGCAGCGGUGGGGAAUAUUGGACAAUGGGCGCAAGCCUGAUCCAGACAUACCGCGUGGGUGAAGAAGGCCUUCGGGUUGUAAAGCCCUUUUGUUGGGAAAGAAAAGCAGCAGGUUAAUACCCCGCUGUUCUGACGGUACCCAAAGAAUAAGCACCGGCUAACUUCGUG
This 492-nucleotide ribosomal RNA is filed under the name uncultured bacterium. RNAcentral's name for it is "partial 16S ribosomal RNA". It matches the Rfam family "Bacterial small subunit ribosomal RNA", at positions 29 to 507 of the family's 1533-position model. The record is from RNAcentral.